This 766-nucleotide ribosomal RNA is filed under the name Staphylococcus aureus. RNAcentral's name for it is "bacterial SSU rRNA". It matches the Rfam family "Bacterial small subunit ribosomal RNA", at positions 28 to 776 of the family's 1533-position model. The record is from RNAcentral. Lineage: Bacteria; Bacillati; Bacillota; Bacilli; Caryophanales; Staphylococcaceae.
GAUGAACGCUGGCGGCGUGCCUAAUACAUGCAAGUCGAGCGAACGGACGAGGAGCUUGCUUCUCUGAUGUUAGCGGCGGACGGGUGAGUAACACGUGGAUAACCUACCUAUAAGACUGGGAUAACUUCGGGAAACCGGAGCUAAUACCGGAUAAUAUUUUGAACCGCAUGGUUCAAAAGUGAAAGACGGUCUUGCUGUCACUUAUAGAUGGAUCCGCGCUGCAUUAGCUAGUUGGUAAGGUAACGGCUUACCAAGGCAACGAUGCAUAGCCGACCUGAGAGGGUGAUCGGCCACACUGGAACUGAGACACGGUCCAGACUCCUACGGGAGGCAGCAGUAGGGAAUCUUCCGCAAUGGGCGAAAGCCUGACGGAGCAACGCCGCGUGAGUGAUGAAGGUCUUCGGAUCGUAAAACUCUGUUAUUAGGGAAGAACAUAUGUGUAAGUAACUGUGCACAUCUUGACGGUACCUAAUCAGAAAGCCACGGCUAACUACGUGCCAGCAGCCGCGGUAAUACGUAGGUGGCAAGCGUUAUCCGGAAUUAUUGGGCGUAAAGCGCGCGUAGGCGGUUUUUUAAGUCUGAUGUGAAAGCCCACGGCUCAACCGUGGAGGGUCAUUGGAAACUGGAAAACUUGAGUGCAGAAGAGGAAAGUGGAAUUCCAUGUGUAGCGGUGAAAUGCGCAGAGAUAUGGAGGAACACCAGUGGCGAAGGCGACUUUCUGGUCUGUAACUGACGCUGAUGUGCGAAAGCGUGGGGAUCAAACAGG